This 3491-nucleotide long non-coding RNA is filed under the name Oreochromis niloticus (Nile tilapia). RNAcentral describes it as "lncRNA (ENSONIG00000032588.1)". The record is from RNAcentral. Lineage: Eukaryota; Metazoa; Chordata; Actinopteri; Cichliformes; Cichlidae.
AAUUUAUUUUGAAGUUUAGGCUCGUUUCCGGUUACGCCCACUGAAAUAUUUUGAAAGUUGCAGCCGGAAACGUGAGUAGAUUUGACAACUGUUGUGGGGAUGCUGAGGAGAGAGCAUCCUUCACUGUAGGUUUUCACACACACACAGGCCGUGUGUUUUAUACGCUGUGAUGUCACAACGCCUAGCAGUCUUACAUUUUACUUGACUGCCGUGAGUUGCUCUUACACGGAAAACUACGCUUUCAAGCUAAGCUAGGCGCUGACACUCCAAGAUAAGCGAUGGUGGAUUUGUCCGAAGGUGGUGCAGUGUCAGUCGGACACAGCAGAGACAGACAGGGAUCAGGUUCGGGUAAUAAUGACAGGAUAACGUCGAAGAAGUCGCGAACGAGAAGAGGCAAAAGAGGGAAGAGAAGGAGGAACAAAAAGAGCAACAGGAACAAAACGCCACCGCCGUAUUUACCACCGGAGGCUGAAGAAGGGAACAUUGAAUAUAAGGCUUUUAUGCAGCUGCAGAGUCUGAAGGUGUGCCCCGUGCAGAAGUAAUCGAUGAAGAUCUGACAGAAGAACAACAACAAUAUUACAAUGUCAUAGCUGUGGACAGCAGUUGUGUUGGACAAGUGGAGGUUGAGGUACCACCUGUAAAUGUGGACAGUGGUGAUCGGACAGACAGCAUCACAGAAGCUAAAGGGCAGACGAAGCAUUGUGUGUGCAAUGAACAGGGCAGAGCAGAAAUAAACACAACACUGCUUGAUAAGAUUGUUAAGGUUUGCUGUGUUUUGGUGAAUAUGUGCCCCAGUGUGGUUGUCAAACCAGCGCCAAAUGAAACUUGCUCUUGUUGAGUAUUCAUAAAGCUGUUGUGUUGCAUGUGUAGUUCAUUGUAAAUAAUUGUACUUUGUGUGAAGUAGUUUCAAUAAAACAGAAAAGAAUAGUAUACAUGUUUGUUUUUUUUUAUUCUUGAUCUUAUCACAUGUACUUAGCAAGUACAUAGAAAUGAAAUGCAAACUAUUUACAUGGCAACACACAGCUGGCAUCAAUCUUGAACCACAAAAUGAAACAUUACAGGCUAUUUAGAGCAGCACGUUGUUUGGUGAAGUAUUUCCCAACAAGUUCAGGAAGACACACUUUAAGAAAGAAGUCUUGUGCUUGCUUUAAACGUGGUUCCCAGAAAUCCACAUCAGGGAAGAUGCGUAUGACAGAAGGUCUCUCUGUGUCCACACAACGAGGUCACAGUGCAGUUUCAUUCAGUCGUUGUGAGUGCAGUACCUGAAACACACAAAAACCACUUUUAAUAAAAGGUCUGUAAUGAACCAAGGCUAAUAUAGAUGGGUUGGCUGUACGUGCAAAUCAAAAACUGUAACAAGGAAGUUGUUUAGAAAGUUAUCAUGUUCAAACCGACUUACCUUUGUCUUAACGACAACGUACAGUUGUCGCAGCGUGGAGGCAUAAAGAUGGACAAAUCUUGCACCCAGCUGUUCGUGAAUUGGAUGUGGGCCUCCAGGGAUUUAUAAUUCUUAAACUGGUUUGCUGUGUAUGCGCUGACUCCACAGACAAGGUAUGCAAAGAUCGGGAUAGGACAAAGGCGGUAAGAUAAAAUUAGUGCACAUGACAGGUGUGUGAUUCAUCUGGAAGUUAUGUGCGGAUUAGUGUACAAUGAGAGCAAUUUAGUAUGUUUUUAGAGGCCCAUGAGCAGUGUUGGUGCCCAGUCUGGAUUUGUUACAUCCAUUUCAUACGCUGGUUUGCCUGCAAUAAUGCUAAAUCAUAAGCUACUCAGUCGACAUGAUGACAUGACGUGGUUCUGCAGCAUCACACAUUAGCAUGUUUUAUCUCAUUAUCUAUGACCUCAGCACAUUGAAAAUAACACUAAAAGCAUUUUAAUAGUGAUAUGAAUUAAUUUAGAACUCACCGGAAAGAAGAUGCAGAGACCAAACCAACAAAAAGCUGGGGAUUGCACAGAACUCGAUCCGCUCGUCUCACCGCUGCAAUGCAAGCCUGACGUCUUUGUUUAGUAAUAUCGGAUACAUGGGAUCCCUCACGUUGCCUCCAGGUUGAAAAACGAUGAAAAGAGAGCCCAUUAUCCCGCUUCUUGCCUUCACGAUCGUGUGAUCAAACGUUGCAACUGAUAACACAACACGUACGAACCAUAGCUGAAGCUGUAUCCUGUGUCUAGCCUACUGUCAUGGCGGAAAGGGGCGUGGCCCACCUCCAGUGACAUCACGCUCCAAAGCCCUAUUCAGGGUAUGCACGCUUGAAGUACGCACACUACGCGUACUACGUACGGUGCGUACUACAAGUACGGGAAGUGCGGAAGUGAGAGGCUUGUGAAAUGGGACGGUCUAGCCUUCGUCGCGCUGUUCAGGUUGCCUAGCAACCAUGAUACUAACCGCGAGAAAUGUUUCAUACAGCUUUGUGUGACAGAAAUGAAGGAGAAAAAAUGUUUUGUUGGUCAUUCAUUUUGUCAUGACAUCACUUUGAUUAGUUGAGACCACAGGACUGUAAAACAUGAUAGUUGGGCUUCAUUUCUGUACUGAACAGUCAUUUCAAGAUUAGUUAGUAAAUAAUAAUUAGCUAAUGUUGUUCAUGAGACUAAAGUCAUCUCACUGUGGUAAUGUUAAUAUAAUAUGGACAAUAUUAUAUGUAUUGUCAGAUUAUAUAUAUGAGCUUGAACUCUGGGUCAAAGAUGCAAGUAGCAGUUAUUUAUAUUUCCUAUCACCUUAAAUCUUCACUCAAAGACAAGUAUCUCUGACAGUGUAUAUACAGAUGUAUUAUAUAUAAGAGACGAACAUUGUUCUUUUAAUAUGUUGGCAUUACUAAAUUUGGUUCAAUGCUUAUAUAUAUGUGUAAAAAGAAAAUGUAUGAGCUGUGAUAACUGUUUCUGAUAGAAUGAAGAGUAGACUGAUAUAUGAAAUAUUCCUUUAUUGGGUGAGAAAAUCAGACCAUGUCAUAACUGCUUUAAGUCACACAGAAUAGAUAUCAGAGCCUUAAACAGGCUGACUUCUGCUAAAUGGGUCAAACUGGGCAGAAAGUAUACAAACAUAUAACAUCCUUAUAGAAUAUGAUGUAACACUAUAGAUCAACUUACCUCAGAAUAUAUAAAGCAUAUAAACAAUUACAGCAAUAUGAUGCAACAAACACAGCAGUGCUACUAAUCCAAAAUACUCAAAGCUUCAUAGAACUGAAACAAACAUUUAUUUUUAGCUCCAUUCUGCUGCUGAUACAUACUUUAGGUUUCUGAAUAUUAAACUUGUUGCUGCCUUUCAUAGUGUGUAACUUGAAGGCCCUGAGUACUUUCUCCCACACUGAAAACACUGGGAUGAUAACAUUAUUUGAACAUUACCUAAUGAGACUGAUUCAGGACAGACAGUUAUUUUAAACUUUCCUAGCAGUCCUUCACAAACAGGGAACAGUCUGUCUAUUCUCUCCAUCUGUCCGCUGCUGCUGGCUCUUCCUCCUCCUCUUCCUCACACACUGCUGAGUUUGUCCUGGUGGAUCAUC